CCGUCCAUGGGAUUUUCCAGGCAAGAGUACUGGAGUGGGGUGCCAUUGCCUUCUCCGACACACUGUCAUAAUUAAGUCCAAUUUGAAUCUUAGCCUUAAUUUUAGGGUGUAGUUUCCCUCCAGCAGUGCAGGAGCAUUCCCUUUUCUCCAGGCCCUGUUUCCCUGGUAUGACAUAUCAAACCUCAAAGACUGUUACCUAUUGAUACGAGUGUCAACUUCAUUUAGCUCAGUUUGAUCAAAGAAGCAAAAAAUCUGGGGGAGGGUGGCAAUUUUUUCUGUUUUCUUCAUGAGGAGAAAUGAAACUGUUAGAAGAAAAAGGACCUGUGGCUCGUGUGCUCUUUGAGUCACUCAUUGUUUGCAGGAAUUUGCUUUUAUUUUCUUUCAAGUGUGACCUUUCAUUCAAUGGUAACAAAUAACAGAAUUAGAAGAAACUAGUUUGAAAUGAUGGCUGGUUUCUACCUAGAAAAUCUGAACCAAAGGAACUAAUGGGACCGCAAAAAUCAGGGUGCCAAGCUUUUAAGAAUAUGUUAGAUUGCAAAUAAUAACUAGUAUGGUUGAAAUUUCAACAACACAUUUUUAUUCUGAUAAAGAAUAUACUUUUCCAAAAGGUUUGCAGUAUGGCCGCCUCCUGUUGGAAGCCUGGGAUGCUGGAAUCAUGCCACACCCUGUGUGUCUGUACACGACACUGGGCUGCAUACUAUAAAAAAUUCCUGCCUCUCCCAUGGAUCCUGAAGGUAGGAGAAAAGCAAAUUAGCCAAGAUGGCGAUGUCAGGCUCUCUCGCUCCGGCCCCAUGUUUUGUAAAUACACGGUUACGUAUCCGCUGAGCGCACUUACAGUACAGCGCAUGCGCUUCACGAGGUACCCGCUUGGCCGCAGACCACUUUUGCUCUGUAAACAUCAGUAAGAUCCACCAGAAAAGCCCUUGCGGCUACGUUAUGGCUGCGUCCGCUGGAUCACCACGAGACCAGAGAAUACAGCGAGUCUGCUGUUACAGCCGAUGCACCAGUCAGGAGAGAUUAAACGAGUCUGCAGUUCUUCCGGCUCCCCAAGUUUUCUUGCAGCUUCCCUGCUCGCGCCUUGCCUACCUUGGGUUCAACGAACAGUGAGAUACAGUGAGACACUGACCAUCACGUGGCCAAAGCAACUGGUAACACUUUGUUUUGCCUGUCGGAAUGUUCAAUGACACAGAUUCUUUCAGUUUCACCCUGCCCUGAUGUGGGUGAAGGGUGAGCUCGCAGAUUAUUUCCUCUUCAAGAAAUGUACAUCUUAGUUCCCACGCGAGGGGGAGCUCCCCGUCCAAAGAUGAGAGACCCUGCAUGUGUGUGACCUGCGCCUCUGGGGAGAGCAGCUUUAAGCUAGUUUAAACCUGACCAAAGUCUGUCUACAUGGUAGAUUUAGACCUCUCCAAGUCCUGUCUACACUGACGAUGUUUACACGUGACCGUGUAUUUUCUAUAAUGAGCUCAUUUAGACCUGACGCUGUUCUGUGCGCUAGGACAUGGAGACCAGGGUAGAGACCUGGCCUGCCUCUGUCCUGGAAAACUCCGCGCCCGCCUCUGAAUGUCCGCGCUCAGAUGUCUGGGGUCUGGAGCUGAGGUGGCUUCUCUGGGCAGCGUGCUCUUCUCUGAGGGGGCUCCGUGGCCCUCCCAGGGUCAGGGAUGCGGUGGGCUCUGAGUCUCUCCCCCUGCCAGGUUCCCCCUCCCUGGGGCAUGGAGGCUCCUCAGGUGGGCUACCUGGCAAUCAUUCCAAUUUUCCAGCACAUUCAGGUUGAGUAGGGACGCAGGUUCACCUGGUGAACUGAUUCCAGGGAUGGGGCAAGAAGUCAGCGGGCAGCAGGUGAGGUUGCCGCUGUGAUCUCCUUCCGGUCGACUCUACUCAGAAGAGAACAGGGCUGCGCCCCAUCCUUCAGCCCAGCUCUCCUGUUUUCUCAUCACCUCAGCAGGACAGGAAAGACAGAGCCUGCCAGAACCAAGGUCGACCGUCCUACUCAGCAGAGACCAGACCUGCCCCUCGUCUUCCAGCCCUGCGUCUGGUGUGUUUUCUCAGCUCCUCAGCGGGACAAGAAAGGACCAAGCUUGCCAGAACCAAGAUUCCGCAGUGGCAACCCACUCCCGCACUCUUGCCUGGAAAAUCCCAUGGACGGAGGA
Molecule: long non-coding RNA, 2147 nt
Organism: Bubalus bubalis (water buffalo)
Lineage: Eukaryota; Metazoa; Chordata; Mammalia; Artiodactyla; Bovidae
Exons: 3
Source: RefSeq, a predicted model, not a curated record